GGUGAGUAACACGUGAGUAACCUGCCCCUGACUCUGGGAUAAGCCUGGGAAACUGGGUCUAAUACUGGAUAUGACUACUGGCCGCAUGGUCUGGUGGUGGAAAGAUUUAUCGGUUGGGGAUGGACUCGCGGCCUAUCAGCUUGUUGGUGAGGUAGUGGCUCACCAAGGCGACGACGGGUAGCCGGCCUGAGAGGGUGACCGGCCACACUGGGACUGAGACACGGCCCAGACUCCUACGGGAGGCAGCAGUGGGGAAUAUUGCACAAUGGGCGCAAGCCUGAUGCAGCGACGCCGCGUGAGGGAUGACGGCCUUCGGGUUGUAAACCUCUUUCAGUUGGGAAGAAGCCUUUCGGGGUGACGGUACCUUCAGAAGAAGCGCCGGCUAACUACGUGCCAGCAGCCGCGGUAAUACGUAGGGCGCGAGCGUUAUCCGGAAUUAUUGGGCGUAAAGAGCUCGUAGGCGGUUUGUCGCGUCUGCCGUGAAAGUCCGGGGCUUAACUCCGGAUCUGCGGUGGGUACGGGCAGACUAGAGUGCAGUAGGGGAGACUGGAACUCCUGGUGUAGCGGUGAAAUGCGCAGAUAUCAGGAAGAACACCGAUGGCGAAGGCAGGUCUCUGGGCUGUAACUGACGCUGAGGAGCGAAAGCAUGGGGAGCGAACAGGAUUAGAUACCCUGGUAGUCCAUGCCGUAAACGUUGGGCACUAGGUGUGGGGGACAUUCCACGUUUUCCGCGCCGUANCUNACGCAUUAAGUGCCCCGCCUGGGGAGUACGGCCGCAAGGCUAAAACUCAAAGGAAUUGACGGGGGCCCGCACAAGCGGCGG
This 823-nucleotide ribosomal RNA is filed under the name Actinomycetales bacterium CS05. RNAcentral describes it as "bacterial SSU rRNA". It matches the Rfam family "Bacterial small subunit ribosomal RNA", at positions 105 to 935 of the family's 1533-position model. The record is from RNAcentral. Lineage: Bacteria; Bacillati; Actinomycetota; Actinomycetes; Actinomycetales.